Pongo pygmaeus (Bornean orangutan) is the source of this 4899-nucleotide RNA transcript. RefSeq lists it as uncharacterized. Lineage: Eukaryota; Metazoa; Chordata; Mammalia; Primates; Hominidae. The record is from RefSeq and is a predicted model, not a curated record. The transcript is spliced from 3 exons.
AGCCCCCCGUGGUUUCUGUUUGCUUUUUUACCGUCCCCCGUCCCCCCACCCCCACCCCGUCCCGGCCCCACCCGGGCCUUGGUCCCACCGCGAAGGGGCGAGGAGUCCCCGGAAGGGUCGCGAUGGCCGGGGAGUCCGGGACCUCGGCUCUGGGUAGGCGCGCCCCGCGACCCAGCGGCGGCGUGGGCGAGGGGCGCUGCGCAAACUACGCGCUCUCGCUGGGGAAACGCCAGCCGAGGCGGGCGGCGGCGGUAAAGGGAAUGAGGACCAGGACCCGGUGCCCGGCGGGACUGGCCCCGCACCCCACGCCGCCCCCCUGCGGUGCGCACCGCAUCUGCGCCCUAGGCCGAGGCCAGGCUCGGACCCCUCCCCCGCACCGACGUGAUUCGGAUCGCGCGGUGCUGGCGCCGCCUUCAUGCGCCCUGCCUGGCCCCCACCUGGUCCUCUUUCCUUUUCAGGUGGAGAAGAUGCCGCUGUCCCGUCGGUCUGGGGACAGCCCAGCUCCCCGGAUCCCGGGCUGGAGAGACGCGUCGCGGCCCCGGGGCCUGGUGGCACGAGCAGGAAAGAGGACCCGGCGGCGGGCUCUGCCUGGGCUUGCCUGGGCUUGUUCCGAGCCGGGCUGCUUCUCGGUGACCACGCAGAUCGGGGGCAUUUGGAGAUUUUGCGGGAGUCCUGCAGCCAAGCUCCGGGGCAGGAGAGGCCUGGAAGCCUGCACUACCUGCUCGCCCCGUCCCAGCGUGCACCCAGGGCUGUCCUCCGUGCCUUUACCUGUGCUGGGCCCUGGCAGAGCUCUGAGUCUUCCGGAUUCCAGCGUCCAUAGCAGCUAGUCUGUCGACUGCUGGAGGAAAGCCGCUUUCCCAAAAUAGCCACCCAGGGGGAAAGAGCAGCCCUGGAAUUUGACCCUGACGAUCACCGUGACGGGGCUGCUGGCCCCACCUGGGCUAACCUCCACGACAUCACGGAAGGACUAUUGGUUAGUUGUGGGGGCCAGGAUUUUUCCUCUGUCCCCCUCCCCUCUUCUUCUUCCCUUUCUUCUUUUUCUCUGCCAGCUUCACGUUUGAAAUUCUGGUGACACCGAGGGGAGAUGCUCCAGUGCCUGUCCAGCUGGGGGGCAGGUCACAUGGUGGGAGCAGAGAGGGGAGGGCACUUGUGCGCCUGCACCUCUCGGCAGGUGAAUGCACACCUAUGGAGGGGCCUGGGUGCUGGCAGUGAGCCCUGCUCCCUGCGGCCGUGCCAGGCCCAGAGGCGGCAGCAAGCUGAACAGGUCAGACAGGUGGAGCCAGCCUGGGGAAGCUGCAGGACCAGAGCUGACAUCCGAUCAAUCCAAGGUCCUUCUUUGGUCCACAGAGCAGGUGCUGGGGAGAGGCAAGACAGGCCUGUCCCCUGAGUCCCCUCCGGAUGCCGUGGACUGGCCAGCUGUGAGUGUUUCUUUGGCAGUGUCUUAGCUGGUUGUUGUGAGCAAUAGUAAGGAAGCAAUCAGCAAGUAUACUGCCCUAGAAGUGCUGCACGUUGUGGGGCCCGAGAGGGAAGAUGAGGCGAGAGAUGCCCAGACCAGUGGGAGACGCCAGGACUUCGGAAGCUCUUCUGCGCCACGGUGGGUGGUGAGGGCGGCUGGGAAAGUGAGCUCCAGGGCCCCAGGAGCAGCCUGCUCGUGGGUGCGGAAGGAAAAAGGCACAGGGGCUUGGUGUGGGCGGCUUUUGGCUGGGAGAAGUUUGCACGUAGGGAGAAUAGUAGCCAGUGUUUGCAGAGCACUUACUAUGCAGGAAGGCCUGUCCUAAGCAUUCUAAGUGUAUUACAUCAUGAACAAAUGUCUGUGAUUAGCCCCGUCUUGCAGAGAAGGAAACAGAAGUACAAACAGAAAAUGUAACUAAGCAUGCAAUUAAUAAAAAGGGGCCAGGUUUUGAACCCAAGCAAUCUGGCUCAAGAAUCUGUGCCCAACCACCGGCUCCUGUUCUUAGAGAUGAAUGUGGAGUCCUGGAGCCUGCUCCGCAUUGUAACUUGAUCAUGACCGUACGCGCUCCCUGUCCCCAGGAGACAGAUUUCCAGUGCAAUCAUAGAAAGUGCCUGUGUGGGCUUCGGGAGAUGUGUCUGCCUUGGGGAGAGUUUUCCUUUUCAGCUAGAGCCAGGCCCAGGAUGUUGACGUCAAUGAGACGCUGGUGACGUUCUCUGCUCCAGUGGCUGAUGAGAAAAGUUCCUCCAAGACAGCUCAGUUGAGGAGAAUUAAGUUCUCUGGGUCCCACUGCCUUCACCUACAGAUGCCAACUUUGAAGCCAGUGAACUGUGAGGCCAGCUGGACUGAUUGCCGUGGCAAUAGGAAUUGGACCCAAGUCACCGGAGGAUGGAGAGGGAAGACACAGUAGUGGCUUCCCCAGGUCUUGGACCACAAGGCACAACUGUGGCCUCCAGGAAGCCUGAGAUAACCCGUUAGUGGGUCCUGCACUCCAACAGAGCUCGUGCAAUCAGCCUCUGGUCCUCACCCUCCUCCCAUUGGUGUCGUUGUGCUCUCUGACAUUGACAUUGAGCAGUCAAUUGAGUGCUCCAGAUCUCGUUCCACUGAUUUUUUCCACUGUUCUCCAGUCUAGCACUUUCUGAAAUUCAUCCAAGCCUAAGAGGUGAUGCCAAAUGUCAGCAGCUUACACCUCGGACCUCAUGGACUAAGACAAGCCUCUGGGGUCCAUGUGGCACCAAGGAUGGGGUCUUCUAAUACCUUUCACACAGGCCAGGGACAGCACCUGCUGUGACCCCCACCCCCAGCCUCUGCCUCUUCUCCCGUUGCCCUUCCAGCCACUGCCCUGGGCACCUCCCCUGCUCCCGCCUCCCUGCCUGGGCCCAUCUUUCUUUCCACCUCACCGAUUGCAGGGCUCCCUAGCGCUGGAGGGGAAAGGAGCCUGCUUCCAUUCUUACCACUCUGAAAGUCAGAAGGCCCUGCAGAGAGGUUUUCUGGGAUUUGGAGCCUAACCUUGGCCUUGACACGGUCCAGAUGAGAAGGCCGUCCCCCAGUUAAGCCAGCCCUCCCUCCCUCUCAAUGCUGGAGAGGAAACCAGGCAGCUGGUUGCUUCAGCAAACCCCAUCCCUACGGGAAUUGUUCUUUUUUUCCUCAAAUAGACGAGUGCAGAGGACUUGCUUCAGAGAGAUCCCCUUUGUAGCACGCAUUCACGGGCCGUGCCCCAUGCCUACUCUGCCACAAACUCCCCUCAGCUGCCCAGCCCCGUGGAGCCAGGCGUGGGCUGAAGUGGGGCCAAUGAAAUGCCUGGAAUGCCAGCCGCAGCGACAGGCCAGCACUCAGAUGCCUCUCGGGAGUUCUGACCGAAGCAGCACUGAGGACCGCUUCAGAGCAGAAGUCUACACCAUUUUCCCCAGUUUUAGGCAGAAGUAAAGAAUGUCUCUACCUUCUCCCAACCAGCAAUUGAUUCAGAGUCCUGAGCUUUUAAAUUAAAGGGACCCCUCUGUUGCUUUAUGCAGUAGCCAGCUUAUUCAUUUGAGUUCAGGUGAAAUCAUUUUCAAGUAACCUCUUCCUAUCCAGCUUUGCUUUUAGUUAUGCUGACAUAAAAACAAUAAAAAUUGUCCUUCUCAGAGUUCACCUGUAAAAGUUUCUGGAUAAUUAGUAAGGAAACAGAAACAGCAGACAGUUGUUGCUUCAGAUAAAAGUGAUGUCUGGGUCGGGCACAGUGGCGCAUGCCUGUAAUCCCAGCACUUUGGGAGGCCAAGGUGGAUGGAUCCCUUGAGUUCAGGAGUUUCAGACCAGCCUGGGCAACAUCUCUACAAAAAAUACAAAAAUUAGCCGGGCAUAGUGGCAGGACUGUAGUCCCAGCUACUCAGGAGGCUGAGGUCAGGGGAUGGCUUGAGCCCAGGAGGCACAGAUUGAAGUGAGCUGAGAUUGCGCCGCUGUACUCCAGCCUAGGCGACAGAACCAGACCGUGUCUCAAAAAGAAAAAGGUAAUUGUGGUCAUUUAAUUUACUUCUGCAUUCUUUUUUUUUUUUGAAAUGGCCAGUGGUACCAUCUCAGCUCACUGCAACCUCUGCCUUGGGGGUUCAAGUGAUCCUCCUGCCUCAGCCUCAUGAGUAGCUGGGAUUACACGCACCCACCACCAUGCCCAGCUAAUUUUUGUUUUUUUAGUAGAGACGGGGCUUUGCCAUGUUGACCAGGCUGGACUCAAACUCCUGACCUCAGGUGAUCCGCCCACCUCGGCCUCCCAAAGCACUGGGAUUACAGGAAUGAGCCACUGCACUCGGCCUACUUCUGCAUUCCUUAGAGUGCAUCCUAGCUAGGAUAUAUUCAGUUGUCUUUAGAGCUAACAGCAGAAGAAAGGUACUUAGAUGCUUAUCUAGCUCUUUAUCUUUCUAGAAAUUCUAGAAGAUGAGAGGGGCAGUGGUGGCUCCAAGGGAGUGAUUUUAGGAUGGACUGGGACAGAGAGGGGCUGCUUACACAUACUCAUACAGAGGCCAUUAAUUUAGGGAGUUCAUGGUCCAGGAGGCUGAUGGCAUCUAGGCCUGUGGCAGAGUGUGCUCCUGCUAGGGAAUGUAUGGGCAGAUUCUUGCCUAUAGUUGGAGGGUUAGAGAGGAGGGAUCAAUAAUUUAAUGGCUGGACUUGAGUUUGGAAGCGAGUGGAGUUAGAUACAAAUUCUGUUUUUGGAGAAAGUAUUUGAUCUUCUUGGCUGUGAGGCAAAGCGAGGUUUAAAAAUAUUUUUGACUUAAAAAAUAUAUAUAUGCAUGUAUAUUUAAUACCGUCUAUGGAUUGUGCCAAUAUCUAUUUUAUGGUUUUGAUAUUGUGCAGUUAUACAAGGAGUUACCACUGAACGAAACUGGGGGACGGGUACACAGAAUCUCUGUACUUUUUUUGUUGUUGUUGCAAUUUCCUGUAAAUCUAUGAUUAUUUUAAAAUAAAAAAGUUAAAGCAUA